UGGGGAAUUUUGCACAAUGGGGGAAACCCUGAUGCAGCGACGCCGCGUGAUUUAGAAGGCCUUCGGGUUGUAAAAAUCUUUUCUAUGGGAAGAAAAUGACAGUACCAUAGGAAUAAGGACAGGCUAAUUACGUGCCAGCAGCCGCGGUAAUACGUAAGGUCCGAGCGUUGUCCGGAAUCAUUGGGCGUAAAGGGUACGUAGGCGGGUAAGCAAGUUAGAAGUGAAAUCCUAUAGCUCAACUAUAGUAAGCUUUUAAAACUGCUCAUCUUGAGGUAUGGAAGGGAAAGUGGGAUUCCUAGUCUAGCGGUGAAAUGCGCAGAUAAUAGGGAGAAUACCGGUGGCGAAGGCGACUUUCUGGGCAUAACCUGACGCUGAGGUACGAAAGCGUGGGUAGCAAACAGG
Molecule: ribosomal RNA, 402 nt
Filed under: bacterium
Lineage: Bacteria
Description: partial 16S ribosomal RNA
Rfam family: Bacterial small subunit ribosomal RNA
Source: RNAcentral